CAGGAUGAACGCUAGCGGCAGGCUUAACACAUGCAAGUCGAGGGGCAUCGGGAGUAGCAAUACUUGCCGGCGACCGGCGCAAGGGUGCGUAACGCGUGAGCAACAUGCCCGUAUCAGGGGGAUAAUCCAUGGAAACGUGGUCUAAUACCCCAUAGUAAUUAUGUAAGGCAUCUUAUAUAAUUUAAAGCUUUGGUGGAUACGGAUUGGCUCGCGUGACAUUAGCUGGAUGGUAAGGUAACGGCUUACCAUGGCUACGAUGUCUAGGGGUUCUGAGAGGAAGGUCCCCCACACUGGAACUGAGACACGGUCCAGACUCCUACGGGAGGCAGCAGUGAGGAAUAUUGGACAAUGGAUGGAAAUCUGAUCCAGCCAUGCCGCGUGCAAGGAAGACGGCCCUAUGGGUUGUAAACUGCUUUUGUAUGGGAGCAAUAAGGGCUACGUGUAGUCCGAUGAGAGUACCAUACGAAUAAGCACCGGCUAACUCCGUGCCAGCCGCCGC
Molecule: ribosomal RNA, 499 nt
Filed under: uncultured bacterium
Lineage: Bacteria
Description: bacterial SSU rRNA
Rfam family: Bacterial small subunit ribosomal RNA
Source: RNAcentral